GAACUAUAGAUUAAAGUGAAGAUGGUUAAAUGAUAGAAGUCUAUACAUGAUGCAUGCCUUAAGUUAAUUGAGUUGGUAGAAUCUCCAAGUAAAACCUUAGAGCAACGAUAAAAUGGUCUCCUUAUGACUUAUAGGACAUGAGUCCAGCGCGAAAUUGCGCCUUAUCGCAUCCGUUUUCUUGCUCGUUAGUGAUGUUUUUUGAUUUUUAAAAGAAGGGGCAGAGCUUGAAGACACGAAGGGAGCCUAAAGUAGCAGCCCAUUACGUUUU
RNAcentral lists this long non-coding RNA (268 nucleotides) under Nicotiana benthamiana. RNAcentral describes it as "long non-coding RNA (NBEN_LNC027555)". The record is from RNAcentral. Lineage: Eukaryota; Viridiplantae; Streptophyta; Magnoliopsida; Solanales; Solanaceae.